RNAcentral lists this ribosomal RNA (389 nucleotides) under uncultured bacterium. Its description in RNAcentral is "bacterial SSU rRNA". It matches the Rfam family "Bacterial small subunit ribosomal RNA", at positions 29 to 420 of the family's 1533-position model. The record is from RNAcentral.
AUUGAACGCUGGCGGAAUGCUUUACACAUGCAAGUCGAGCGGCAGCGCGGGGCAACCUGGCGGCGAGCGGCGAACGGGUGAGUAAUGCAUCGGAACGUACCCCGUCGUGGGGGAUAACUACCCGAAAGGGUAGCUAAUACCGCAUACGACCUGAGGGUGAAAGCGGGGGACCGAAAGGCCUCGCGCGAUGGGAGCGGCCGAUGCCCGGAUUAGCUAGUUGGUAGGGUAAAGGCCUACCAAGGCGACGAUCCGUAGCUGGUCUGAGAGGACGACCAGCCACACUGGAACUGAGACACGGUCCAGACUCCUACGGGAGGCAGCAGUGGGGAAUUUUGGACAAUGGGCGAAAGCCUGAUCCAGCCAUUCCGCGUGAGUGAAGAAGGCCUCGG